Molecule: unclassified non-coding RNA, 279 nt
Filed under: plant metagenome
Description: partial contains small subunit ribosomal RNA, internal transcribed spacer 1, and 5.8S ribosomal RNA
Source: RNAcentral
UCUCCGUUGGUGAACCAGCGGAGGGAUCAUUACAGAGUUUUCACAACUCCCAACCCUUGCGAACCGUACCCAUUCUGUUCUCGUUGCUUCCGGCGGGGGGGACGGGGGGGCCCGAAACGGCCUCCCCGCCCCGCCCCCCGGGGGCGGCGGGCCCUACGAACCCUUCUAACUCAACCCCCACAAACCGUCAUCGCAAACCAACAAAAUAAUCAAAACCUUCAACAACGGUUCUCUCGGCUCCAGCAUCCAUGUAGAACGCAGCAGAUCGGAAGAGCAACC